CUGGAACUCUCUUGCUUUUUUGAUGAUCCAGCGGAUGUUGGCAAUUUGAUCUCUGGUUCCUCUGCCUUUUCUAAAGCCAGCUGGAACAUCUGGAAGUUCAUAGUUCACGUACUGCUGAAGCCUGGCUUGGAGAAUUUUGAGCAUCACUUUACUAGCGUGUGAGUAAGUCCUUGAAAUCCACUGUGUAUUCUGCACUGAGCACACAGCUCAGUCUGUACCAGCUACAGUUCAAGUGACCAGAAGUCCCAUGCGGCUAGUGGCUAGUAGCUGCUGCAUUGGAAAGGCAGUUCCAGAAUGUAAUUUUUUCAACAGUUUCAUUCCUCAGAUACGAGCACCUUCAAGGUAGGUGCCUACCUGGUCUGAGACCUUGUAGAAUUUACAUUUUAGAGUGGAUGAUGUAGUAAACAAGCAUACAAACAAACAAGACAAUUAUUGAUUGUGAUGAGCAGCUUCCUCGUAGUGAGUUGGGAGGGCAUUUGAGUGCGGUAGGCGGGGAUAAGGUGGUGGGGAGCCUUCUCUCCAGAAGGGAUAUCUGAGCCUGAAGGACAGAAGGAACCACAGUGAAGACAGAGGCAGAGACUUCCAGGUGGAUUCUUUAUCACUGCACCAUCUGGAAAGCCUGCUGUCGAUGCUGCUGCUCUCCAAACCAUUCUCUGAAUGGGGAAGGGUACUGUGUUUGGGAGGAUCAAAAACUCAAGGCCAGGCAACUGCAAAUACCAUGCCUUAUCUGCUUUCUCCGAAAAAUGUUACUAGGAGGUAUCCAGGAUAUGAAUGAUCUGUUUUCCCAGCUUGGGUUGCUGACAACAAUCUUUGCUUUGUAGGUCCAAUCUGGCAAGUCUUAAAAGCUUAAUAAAUAGCCAGCUUUGUAAACGAGGUCCAGAAAUGACCAGCAAACUCCUCCUAUCUGCCCCUCAAACCUUCAAUACACGCUUCCCUUGCUUAAUACUGGCUAUGACCAGAACACAAAUCAAUUGAAUUUAGGCUCUAUCUAUGAGGAUCUUCCAAACUGCUCCACAUGCAGUCAAUUUGAAUGAGCAGACUGCUUGUCCAUUGCACUUUCUAAUCAGUGAUAUAACAUGUGCAGAGUUAAGGAUUCUUUUUUGGACAAAUAUUUCUUUAAAAAGGAAAAGAAGUUAUCUUUGUGUCAGGCUCUCUGUUAGGUACUUUUACACACACGAUCCACUUCAGUUGCUUCAACAGUUUUUCCAGGUAGGUACUGUUAUUUCUCUUUUCACAGAUGAGGAAAGUUGGAAAAGACCCUGAUGCUGGGAAAGAUCUGGGGCAAGAGUGGGCAACAGAGGAUGAGAUGGUUGGAUGGCAUCACUGAUUCAAUGGACAUGAGUUUGAGCAAGCUCUGGGACAUAGUGAAGGACAGGGAAGCCUGGUGUUCUGCAGUUCAUGGGAUCACAAAGAGACAGACACGGCCGAGCGGCAGAACAACAACUGUUAUUCCCCUUUGCACAGAUGAGGAAACUGGGCUCAGAGGGACAAGUAACUUGUUCAAGGUCCCACACAGUCAGCGAAUGGAAGGGCUGAACCUCUGUCAGCCUUGGUCCAAAGUCCAAGUUCUUUUUACACUGCUCUGGGCUCCCCAGUUUCCAGGGGAAACUAGUUUAGUUUUCUAGUUGCUAGCUAAAUCCCAAUUAUAUGAUUAGGCCACCCAAGAUGGCUAUUCUCUUGCUCUUCCUGCUUGACCAAUGCCUGUCUCACCUACACCCCGAUUGACUUUCCCUCUUAAUCAGAGAGCCUAACCAGUAAAUGCCUAUGUACUUGCCCCCAGCCCCAGCUAGUGAUUGUUCUAAUCUUCAGAUCAGAGCCAUCUCCACUAUGAUAGUUUAUCAAAGGGGCAAUGAGAGGCGUGCCCCUCUGCUGGUUUCUCUGGCAACUGAUGAGCCAAUCUGAUAUUAAUUAACCCUAUAACUGGUUACCUCCUUUUCCCUCUGGUAGCAAAGACUACUGCCACGUUCUGCCGGCUGUCUGCUGCACACAUUGGGGCGUUGCUCCAGGACCUUGCUUCAGUCACGUAAGAUCCUCCCUCCAUUAAACUAUCAAUGUCUCUGUUACUGACUCCAGGCUUUAGUCUUGAGGCUGGGCAAGCACAGGGCUUGCAGGCACAGUGUCUUCGGAGAUAUUCUUUCAGAGUCAGGGGAGGGAGGCUCAGAAGAGUAUUCUAGAGAAGGCAGCACUUUACAUCGUGCUUUCAAGAAUGGCGAGGACAUGGAAAGACAGGGGACCCUCCCAGGUAGCAAUUCCAGGUCGUGAGACUAAACGCAAGCCGGGCAAGCUGGCAGCCUCUGCUCACAGGCCUUCUUCCACUCCCAUCUUCCCUACCAACAUCCAUCCAGGUUUCUCCUGGCCCAGGUUAAAUGCCUGACACCUUCAGGCUGAAAGAGGUGUCCAUUUCCUAUUCACUCAUGACACCCUGUGAUUAUUUCUAUCACUGCUACUUCCUUAUUAAAUGAUUCUGCAUUCAACUAUAUAUAAAAUAAGUAACGAAUAAAGACCUACUGUGUAGCACAGGGAACUCUACCCCAUACUCUGUAAUGGUGCAUAUGGGAAAAGAAUCUAAAAAAGAGUGAGUAUAUUUAUAUAUAUAGCUGAUUCACUUUCUGUACACCUGAAAUUAACACAAAUUAUAAAAUCAGCUAUACUCCAAUAAAAUUUUUUAAAAAAUUAAAAAUGAUUGUGUUUUGUGUUCCCUUCUUGAGGUCAAGGAUUUCAUAUAUUUUUGAAGCCCCAGAGACAAAACAAUGCCUAGUACAUAAUAAGCUCUUGAUAAGAAAAAAGUUUUUUGGAAGAAUUGAAUGUUUUUUCAUGAUGAUUUUCCUUCCCUCUGCACUGUUUUGUUAGUUGGUUUGUUCCACUCCACGUUGGUUGGGAUACAUCAGUGAUUUAAACAAGAAAAUGUACUGCUUCCAUGUAAGAGUCAGAGUAGCAGCAGGCCAUACUGAUAAGGUCCCUUUGUGGCGGGGGGGGGGUGGGGGGGGUGGGGGUGGGAUGGGGUGGUGGUACCCAGGAUCCUGCUGGCCAGUAGCUCUGUCAUCCCUCAGAUGUCGCCUUCAUUUAUUUGCACGAUUGGAGGUGGCUCACCACCCCAUCUGGAGAAGGCAAUGGCAACCCACUCCAGUACUCUUGCCUGGAAAAUCCCAUGCACGGAGGAGCCCGGUAGGCUGCAGUCCAUGGGGAUGCGAAGAGUCAGACACGACUGAGCGACUUCACUUUUCACUUUCAUGCACUGGAGAAGGAAAUGGCAACCCACUCCAGUGUUCUUGCCUGGAGAAUCCCAGGGAUGGAGAAGCCUGGUGAGCUGCCUUCUAUGGGGUUGCACAGAGUCAGACACGACUGACGUGACUUAGCAGCAGCAGCAGCAGCAGGACUUAGUUGUGGCACUAGAGAUUUUUAGUUGCGGCAUUCGGGAUCUGGGCUUCCCUGGUGGUUCAGUGGUAAAGAAUCUGCCUGCCAAUGCAGGAGACUCAGGUUUGAUCCCUGGGUCGGGAAGAUCCCCUGGAGAAGGAAAUGGCAACCCACUCCAGUAUUCUUCCCUGGGAAAUCCCGUGGACAGAAGAGCCUGGCAGGCUACUCUACAGCAAGAAUCAGACACAACUUAGUGACUAAACCACCACCACCACCACGUGGGAUAUAGUUCCCUGACCAGGCAUGGAACUCAGACCCUCUGCAUUGGGAGUGUGGAGUCUUAGCCACUGAACCACCGGGAAGUCCUGCUGCUUCCUUUUUAAAGGUGCACCUCUCCCAUCUCUUCACAUCCCAUUUUCAGGACCUGGUGAUGGCUACAAAGGAGACUGGGAAAGUAGUUUUCAUCUGGGCAACCAUCUAAGGCUAAAAUUUCCAUUACCAGAGAAGGAAAGAAUAGAUAUGGGAGUGUGGGGAGGGCAGGAAGAAGUAGCAGUGUCUGUCUGCCACACUUUCUUUUCUUUUAAUAAAAAUUUUAUUUUAUUGAAGUAUUAUUGAUUUACAAUGUUGUGUUAGUUUCUGGUGUACACCCAAGUGAUUCUGUUAUACAUAUAUACAGAUUCUUUUUCAUUAUGGUUUAUUACAGGAUACGGAAUAUAGGUCCUUGUGCUAUAGAAUACGACCUUGUUGUUUAUACUCCAUUCUUAUACUGCUGCUAAGUCGCUUCAGUCGUGUCCGACUCUGUGCGACCCCAUAGACGGCAGGCCAUCAGGCUCCCCCAUCCCUGGGAUACUCCAGGCAAGAAUACUGGAGUGGGUUGCCAUUUCCUUCUCCAAUGCAUGAAAGUGAAAAGUGAAAGUGAAGUCGCUCAGUCGAGUCCAACUCUUAGAGACCCCAUGGACCACAGCCCACCAGGCUCCUCUGUCCAUGGGAUUCUCCGGGCAAGAGUACUGGAGUGGGGUGCCAUUGCCUUCUCCAUUCUUAUACUGGUGUAUUGUAAAUAUUCAGACAGUUCCAUAUGAUAUGCUUGACCUAUUUUUUUCUUUCCAAGGUGCAUUUUCGAUUGAAUUACUCACCAAUCAUGCAUAGUCAUCUUACGUGUCCUCUGAGAGCAUGAAAUCUUUCAUCUGUAUCUUGCACAACCUUGAUCUUAUAGCAUGCCUGGUACCUAGUUACUUAAUCAGUAGUUGCUAAAUGAAUACAUGGGUGAAGAAGAGAAGAGCUUUGUCAUUCCUCCAUAACCUGUUUCUAUGGAGCUGGAUUUAUCAAUCACAUUAGGUAAACAGUACAAAUAAAUCAGUAUUAUCUGUGUUGAGUUAUUACAAAAUGUGGAAGCAUUGAGGGACGUCAACAUCGUCUUCCCUGCCCUGUGGUGGUGCUGCUCUUGAGCCACAAGAGUCAGACUGGGGACCAGUGACUUUACUCCCAGGACACAUGUCAUGAGGUCAGCUGUACCACCACCAUCUUCUCCCCCUUUCCUCUCGUUCUCCUUCAGAAGAAGGACCCGUCUCCACUCUGCAGUUCUAGAAACACUUCUUUUAAGUUAGAACGCAAAUACCAAGGAGUUGUGUGUGCGUGCUUAGUUGCUCAGUUCAGGGUAAAUAAAUAAUCCUGAGGAUUUCCAUUUUCUAAAGAGUCCUGAUACUGCCCUCUCUGCACAUUUUGACCAGUGGCUUUGGCUUUUUGCCAGGCUUCUCUGUCCAUGGACUUCUCCAGGCAAGGAUACUGGAGUGGGUAGCCAUUCCCUUCUCUAGGCAGUCUUCCCAACCCAGGGAUGGAACCUGGGUCUCCUGCAUUGCAGGCAGAUUCUUUACCAUCUGAGCCAUGAGGGAAACCCCAGCUUUACGAAACCAGAUAACAUUUUGGCAAUGUCAGAGCCAGCUGGCCCCCAAGAGUCUGUUACCAUGGCAAACAGUGAGGUCACAUAAGGAUUACCCACUUGACCCGAGCUUGUUAUGUCUAGACACUCAUGCUGAGGGCGACAUCACCCAGGAAUUCAGGGACUCUGUAGGCCUGCCCUCGUUUCUGGUUUGUCACAUUUUCCUCCAGCCUCCUGGAAACCCCAAACAGGAUUUCCAGCUCCUUUCAGAUUCCUGUCUGGCAUUUCCUCGCUCUCUGCUCUCCUGGGGACAGGACUGCUUUUGGCAGACAGACGCUACCCCUCCCUCCCCCAAUCCAGGAAGGGCCCUGGCCUCUAUGACAGCAAAUCCAUUGCACCACUUAGGUUUAAUUAGAGCACAAUGACGGAUGAUUAGUUUACACAUCAAAGCACUGAAACAACUUGACAAAUUGGCCCCAUCCCAAAGCCCAGCGCGGGAGCUGGCCUUGAACUCAGAGGCUCUGCCCUUGGGGGCCGCGGAGGUGGUGAUGAAAGCUCGGGAGCCCCAGGCAGGGGCGCACAGAAGGAGUUCUGUUUCUCAAGAGAAGAAAUGCAUCCCAGCUGUUGCCAGCCCUGAUUGUGCCUCUGCAUCUCCCUCACCUUGACUUUCCUCCUCCUGGCUCUCCCCCGGCUGCUGCUCAAAGUUCAUGUGUGGUAGGCUCGAAGUUCAUGUGUGGUAGGCUCUCAGUACUUUGGAGACAGAUAAUCAUGAGUUACCCAAGCCCUUUGCUAGUUCUCUUUUUUCACCCUGUUUACCCUCCAAGUGGGAUUUGGAGUGUUCAAUUAGGAAACCUACCAAGGAAGGAGAGAGAGACAAAAUUCAUCUUCAAACCAGCCACUUGGUUACCAACUGAUGAUUUUUUUGUUGGCAAACUAAUGGAGGAAAGAGAAACUAUAGACUGCAAUGAAGUAAAGGAAUUAUUUCUAGGUCUCCUUUCUGUACGCUCUCUGUGUAUGACCUGAAGUCAGGUGAACCCAGGAGAGCACGUGGCAUUAGACUGUUUCCGAGGUUUAUCACAUAUUUCAGAUCUCUGAUUGUCAUGCUGGGUCCCAGAGAGGUUGAUGGUGUGUUGGAAGCCGUUCGGGUUCUUCUGGCUCAAAAGACCAGUCUGUUCAUACUAACAAUCACUUAAUUCAGCGAUUAAACCAACAAAAAAACCCUAAACGUCCACCCAGUAGUUGAACUGAAUUCACCCUCUCACUUGGUCUACACUCAUAGCCUCAUGGAAGAACAAUUGGUGUGUCCUGCUUCAGAGUCAUCUCAUCAAAGUCAAUGGCAGAGCAGAGACUUGAAUCAAGGUCUUCCUCCGUAGCCCUUAUCCCCUCAGGACUACGUGAUCUUUCCAGUGGUCGGAAGGAUACAGGGCGGAGGUCACAUAAACAUCGCACGGAGCGCGAAGGCUCAGGCCUCUCUCCUGAACAAUUGAUGGAGACGCAGUGCAUGGUGGGAUUCUUGUUUCCUCGCUGUGGGCCUCGGGUGUGAGCGGACAUCAGCCUCAGCCCCGUGAUGUGGGCAGACAGAUGAAUGCUGACUGCCGGUAGCACUGGACAGUCAGUGGGCGGGAGCUGGGUUCAGACUGCUGUAAGCGGAGCACUUCAGAAGGAGGAUGACACGGCAUUAUUACCAUAAACCAGGAGCCUAUUGAUCGGGCUGAUUAGAAAACCUUCCAAGGCACGGGGGUAAUUAGCACAAUUUACAGCGUAGCAGUUAUCAGCUUCAUUGCUUAAUUAACAAUGUAAAUAUCUUCCUAAAUGACAUUUUAUAAUCAUGAUCAGACCCUCUAGCGUUUGCCCUGUUCACUGCUUAAUUCCUUCCCAGAUGUACAGAUAGCCAGCCGCCUAACAUACCGUUGCUGCAUCUUAUAAGAUAAAACAAUUGUUCUCGCCCCGCGUCUCCUCUUUUGGAUUUUACUGGGGGUCUGUUCUGCCUUCCUCUCUCCAGCCUGAAAUCUACAGUCUGCCAAUUGAAUUGCCAAUUAAAAGUACUUAAUUAGACGUGAAAGGGGAGUUCUGUCAUGUUCUGGAUUCUGAACUAUUUUUUAUUUAUGUGCUUAGCAGGAUAAGUCAUCUUAAAUUAGCAUCACAUUUUUCCCUCUGAAGAGCAUGUGAGAAAUGAGGCUAUUAGGAGGAGAGGUUUAACACAAUAUUUGUGUACACUAGUCAUGGGUGCAGGGAAUCAUCCCAAGCGCAUAUGGUGUUUUGGCAAGCAGGGUUACUCUUCAUCUUUAUUUUAUUUCCUUAUCAUGUCUUGUUGAAUUAAUGUUUGCAAUAGAAAUUUUGGCCUUCCUUAUCAAACAUAUGUGCAGACAACUUAUUGUUUGAUUUUUUUUAAACUUUCAAUUCACCUCUUCUUUUGAGUAUCAGGGCCAUACCGAAAGAUUACUGUUCCACGUUUAAGUUCCCAAUGCAUACAAACAAAUUCAAAUCUUAAUGCAGCCCUGGGGGUGGAAAGUUCAGAUGCUCAUAAUCCUCCCUGGAAAGAAUGCCCCCUAAGCUUUCCAUUCCUGGAGGCUUGAUGAUUUCACCUGGUGAAUGAUCCACUUCUGAUCUAUCUGCACAAUGUGCAGAAAGGGGGUUUAAUACAAACCAGUGCGUAGUAUAUUGGAAAAAUGGUAGGGAAGGCAAAAUGUGAAUUUUGGAGGAAUUUGCUGUGGGUUUUAAUUAACCAUCUUGCCCUUGUUCCCCAUUAUCAUUGAUUUGUGUGAUAAGUGCCAAUUAUACGUGUCAUAAGUAUACUGCUUUUCGAUGAAGACAAGAGAUCUCAUGUGUGAUGCAAAUCAGGACUCUCAGAAUGCUAAUUUUGUAAUGAGCCAAUGCAUUCUUCAAGGAGUUUAUAGUCUAGAGGGGGAAUAAAACAUGUGCAUAAAUAAUUAUAAUGCAAAGUAGAGAACUGGUGGGUCAUGAGACAGCGAAGAAAGAAUUAUGGCCAAAAAAGAGGGUGGAGGAAUAAAUUAUAGUUGAGGGAUUUAGGAAGGCCUGCUUGAAGGUCGGGGCAAACUGGCUUAAAAGCAGACUGAGAGUAUAGGGUGUGGUUUCCAGAUGAGGGGGACAGCAGGAAGAAAAUACAGAGGUGGGACAGCAUGAAAUUUAAAUGAGGAACAAGAUGUUUACCAUGGCCUUUACAGGAGGCAUGCGAAGGGAAGCAGUGGCGGGAACACUGCAAAGGUAGGUCGGGGCUCCCUGGUGCAGAAUCUAGCAUCCAAAGCCAAAACAUCUGCAUUGAUUUUUUAAAAUAUAUCUUUAUUCAUUUGGCUGCGUCGGGUCUUAGGCACCGCACACGGGAUUUUCCUUGCGUCGUGGCUCCGUAGGUGCAGUGCCCUGGCUUACUUGCCCAGAGGCAUGUGGGAUCUUAGUUCCCUAACCUGGGAUGGAACCUGUGUCCGUUGCAUUGCAAGGUGGAUUCUUAGCCCCUGGACAACCAGGGAGGGCCUUGCACUGAUUUUUGCAUAUCACAGGUUGGCUAUUUUUUUUUUUUUUUGGUAAAGGGCCAGAGAGUACAUUUUAGGCUUUGCAGGAUAUGUGAUCUCUGUCACAACUGGUCAGCUCUGCCAUUGGAACACGAAAUCAGUCAGAGGCAACAUGUACAUGAAUGGGCAUCAUGAUGUUUCAAUAAAACUUUACUUAUGGACACUGAAGUGUGAAUUUUGAUGUGUUACAAUACAUUCCUCUUAUGAUUUUAUCAAUACUACUCUCCUCUGCUAUCGGGGUAGGCAGAGGCAUGAAGUUGUGCGUGCAUGCUAAGUCACUGCAGUCGCGUCUGACUCUUUGAGACCCUAUGGACUGUAGCCUGCCAGGCUCCUCUGUCCAUGGGCUUCUCCAGGCAAGAAUACUGAAGUGGGUUGCCAUUUUCUUCUCCAGGGGAUCGUCCCAACCCAGGCAUCGAACCUACAUUGUUUAUGUCUCCUGCACUGGCAGGUGGUUGUUUUUUUUUUUUUUUUUUUUUUACCACUAGCAACACCUGCAGAGUCCACUGGGGUAAGGGGUAUGAAGCCGUAACCAUCUCCUAAGCUCUGAGUUUUUCUUUACUUUUGAAUAUAUUCCCAUAAUCACAGAGAACCAAGUGCUGAUGAGUUUGGAUCCAGGGCGGCAGAGAACCACAGAGUCAGGGCCUUAUGUGAUGGUGAUGGCACACGCGUGCACCGGGGGCUGUGGUUCUAUCAUCCUGUUGGCCUGGAACAAGCUUCAGCAUGUAGCACUAGGGCAGCACUCCCAGUGGGCUUAAUGGUAUUUGGUAGUUAAAAAAGAAAUACCU
Bos taurus (domestic cattle) is the source of this 9542-nucleotide long non-coding RNA. The record is from Ensembl. NCBI's taxonomy places the organism in Eukaryota, Metazoa, Chordata, Mammalia, Artiodactyla, Bovidae.